Molecule: ribosomal RNA, 256 nt
Filed under: uncultured archaeon
Lineage: Archaea
Description: partial 16S ribosomal RNA
Rfam family: Bacterial small subunit ribosomal RNA
Source: RNAcentral
UAAUACGGAGGAUGCGAGCGUUAUCCGGAUUUAUUGGGUUUAAAGGGAGCGCAGACGGGUCGUUAAGUCAGCUGUGAAAGUUUGGGGCUCAACCUUAAAAUUGCAGUUGAUACUGGCGUCCUUGAGUGCGGUUGAGGUGUGCGGAAUUCGUGGUGUAGCGGUGAAAUGCUUAGAUAUCACGAAGAACUCCGAUUGCGAAGGCAGCACACUAAGCCGUAACUGACGUUCAUGCUCGAAAGUGUGGGUAUCAAACAGG